AACCUAGCACACCUGCGGUGUGUACCUGCGGAAGGAUCAUUACCGAGUUAUACAACUCAUCAACCCUGUGAACAUACCUAUAACGUUGCCUCGGCGGGAACAGACGGCCCCGUAACACGGGCCGCCCCCGCCAGAGGACCCCCUAACUCUGUUUCUAUAAUGUUUCUUCUGAGUAAACAAGCAAAUAAAUUAAAACUUUCAGCAACGGAUCU
RNAcentral lists this unclassified non-coding RNA (212 nucleotides) under soil metagenome. RNAcentral's name for it is "partial contains 5.8S ribosomal RNA, internal transcribed spacer 2, and large subunit ribosomal RNA". The record is from RNAcentral.